The sequence is a ribosomal RNA, 488 nucleotides long. It matches the Rfam family "Bacterial large subunit ribosomal RNA", at positions 1832 to 2597 of the family's 2925-position model.
CACUAGAAGAUAAAGACUUUUAGCAAUACCUGCCCAGUGCGAAAUAUUACGGUAAACGGCCGCCCUAGCGUGAGGGUGCUAAGGUAGCGAAAUUCCUUGCCUUUUGAUUGUAGGCCUGCAUGAAUGGUUUAACGAGGGUUUAACUGUCUCUAAAUUUUUUAUUGAAAUUGUACUGAAGGUGAAGAUACCUUCAUUAAAAAGUUAGACAAAAAGACCCCGUGCAACUUUGAAAAUUGACUUUAUUCAGGAGUAAAAGAUUUUUAGGUGGGGCGCCUAGAAAGUAAGCCUAACCUUUCUGAGUAACUAACUCUUUCCGGAUUUGACCCGAUUAUAUUCGAUCAUAGGAGAAGUUACGCCGGGGAUAACAGGCUAAUCCUUUAGUAGAGUUCGUAUUGGCUAAAGGGAUUGGCACCUCGAUGUUGAAUCAGGGAUGAUAGCUUCAAGGCGUAGAGGCUUUGAAAGUAGGUCUGUUCGACCUUUAAUACCCU